ACUCCUACGGGAGGCAGCAGUGGGGAAUAUUGCACAAUGGGCGCAAGCCUGAUGCAGCCAUGCCGCGUGUAUGAAGAAGGCCUUCGGGUUGUAAAGUACUUUCAGCAGUGAGGAAGGCGGGUACGUUAAUAGCGUGCUUGUUUGACGUUAGCUGCAGAAGAAGCACCGGCUAACUCCGUGCCAGCAGCCGCGGUAAUACGGAGGGUGCGAGCGUUAAAUCGGAAUUACUGGGCGUAAAGCGCAUGCAGGUGGUUUGUUAAGUCAGAUAGUGAAAGCCCGGGGCUCAACCUCGGAAUUGCAUUUGAAACUGGCAGACUAGAGUACUGUAGAGGGGGGUAGAAUUUCAGGUGUAGCGGUGAAAUGCGUAGAGAUCUGAAGGAAUACCGGUAGGCGAAGGCGGCCCCCUGGACAGAUACUGACACUCAGAUGCGAAAAGCGUGGGGAAGCAAACAGGAUUAGAUACCCUGGUAGGAUAGCG
This 478-nucleotide ribosomal RNA is filed under the name uncultured bacterium. RNAcentral's name for it is "bacterial SSU rRNA". It matches the Rfam family "Bacterial small subunit ribosomal RNA", at positions 335 to 799 of the family's 1533-position model. The record is from RNAcentral.